UAGUCAUAUGCUUGUCCUAAAGAUUAAGCCAUGCAUGUCUAAGUAUAAACACGUUGUACUGUGAAACUGCGAAUGGCUCAUUAUAUCAGUUAUAAUUUAUUUGAUAGUCUCUUUACUACUUGGAUAACCGUGGUAAUUCUAGAGCUAAUACAUGCAAAAAGCCCGACUUUUCGGAAGGGCUGUAUUUAUUAGAUUAAAAACCAACUAUAUUGGUGAUUCAUAAUAACUGUGCGGAUCGCAUGGCCUUGAGCUGGCGACGUUUCAUUCAAAUUUCUGC
This 277-nucleotide ribosomal RNA is filed under the name uncultured eukaryote. Its description in RNAcentral is "partial 18S ribosomal RNA". It matches the Rfam family "Eukaryotic small subunit ribosomal RNA", at positions 21 to 310 of the family's 1831-position model. The record is from RNAcentral.